UAAUUUCUGUUGGGAAACCCCGAUUAGUUUGCUAGUUGCACCAGUUUAGACUCGUAGCAUAUAGCUCAGUAACACGUGGCCAAACUACCCUACAGACCGCGAUAACCUCGGGAAACUGAGGCCAAUAGCGGAUAUAACUCUCAUGCUGGAGUGCCGAGAGUUAGAAACGUUCCGGCGCUGUAGGAUGUGGCUGCGGCCGAUUAGGUAGAUGGUGGGGUAACGGCCCACCAUGCCGAUAAUCGGUACAGGUUGUGAGAGCAAGAGCCUGGAGACGGUAUCUGAGACAAGAUACCGGGCCCUACGGGGCGCAGCAGGCGCGACACCUUUACACUGCACGACAUGUGCGAUAGGGGGACUCCGAGUGUGAGGGCAUAUAGCCCUCGGCUUUUCUGAACCGUAACGUGGUUCAGGAACAAGGACUGGGCAAGACCGGUGCCAGCCGCCGCGGUAAUACCGGCAGUCCAAGUGAUGGCCGAUAUUAUUGGGCCUAAAGCGUCCGUAGCUUGCUGUGUAAGUCCAUUCGGAAAUCGACCAGCUCAACUGGUCGGCGUCCGGUGCAAACUACACAGCUUGGGUCCGAAACACUCAACGGGUACGUCCGGGGUAGGAUUGAAAUCCUGUAAUCCUGAUACGGACCACCAAUGGGGAAACCACGUUAAUAAACCGAGACCCCACAGUGACGGACGAAAGCCAGGGUCUCGAACCGGAUUAGAUACCCGGGUAGUCCUGGCUGUAACCAAUGCUCGCUAGGUAUCUCACGCGCCAUGAGCACGUGAUAAACCAUAGUGAAAACGAUAAGCGAACCGCCUGGCAAGUACGUCCGCAAGCAUUAAGCUUUAAACUUUAACGGGGUUUUCCGAUCA
This 863-nucleotide ribosomal RNA is filed under the name haloarchaeon SC9. RNAcentral describes it as "bacterial SSU rRNA". It matches the Rfam family "Archaeal small subunit ribosomal RNA", at positions 24 to 884 of the family's 1478-position model. The record is from RNAcentral. Lineage: Archaea; Methanobacteriati; Methanobacteriota; Halobacteria; Halobacteriales; Halobacteriaceae.